CCCUUAGAUGUUCUGGGCUGCACGCGCGCUACACUGAAGCGUUCAACGAGUAUUCACCUUGCCCGGGAGGGUUGGGUAAUCUUUUGAAAACGCUUCGUGAUGGGGAUAGAUUAUUGCAAUUAUUAAUCUUCAACGAGGAAUUCCUAGUAAGCGCGAGUCAUCAGCUCGUGCUGAUUACGUCCCUGCCCUUUGUACACACCGCCCGUCGCUACUACUGAUUGGAUGUUUAAGCGAGGUUCUCGAACUGCUAGUGACUGAUCUUCGGUGAGGUCGCAGUGUGGGAAGUGAUCCUAGCUUUGGUGUCUAGAGGAAGUAAAAGUCGUAACA
RNAcentral lists this ribosomal RNA (327 nucleotides) under uncultured eukaryote. RNAcentral describes it as "partial 18S ribosomal RNA". It matches the Rfam family "Eukaryotic small subunit ribosomal RNA", at positions 1470 to 1796 of the family's 1831-position model. The record is from RNAcentral.